AUUAGAUACCCUGGUAGUCCAUGCUGUAAACGAUGAAUGCUAGGUGUGGGGGGACUGACCCCUUCCGUGCCGGAGUUAACACAAUAAGCAUUCCACCUGGGGAGUACGACCGCAAGGUUGAAACUCAAAGGAAUUGACGGGGGCCCGCACAAGCAGUGGAGUAUGUGGUUUAAUUCGAAGCAACGCGAAGAACCUUACCAGGUCUUGACAUCCAACUAACGAAGCAGAGAUGCAUUAGGUGCCCUUCGGGGAAAGUUGAGACAGGUGGUGCAUGGUUGUCGUCAGCUCGUGUCGUGAGAUGUUGGGUUAAGUCCCGCAACGAGCGCAACCCCCAUCGCCAGUUGCCAACAGGUAAAGCUGGGAACUCUGGCGAGACUGCCGGCGCAAGCUGCGAGGAAGGCGGGGAUGACGUCAAAUCAGCACGGCCCUUACGUCCGGGGCGACACACGUGUUACAAUGGCAGGUACAGCGGGAAGCCACCGGGCGACCGGGAGCAGAACCCGAAAACCUGUCUCAGUUCGGAUUGGAGUCUGCAACUCGACUCCAUGAAGCUGGAUUCGCUAGUAAUCGCGCAUCAGCCACGGCGCGGUGAAUACGUUCCCGGGCCUUGUACACACCGCCCGUCAAGCCAUGGGAGUCGGGAGUGCCUGAAGUACGUGACCGCAAGGAGCGUCCUAAGGCAAAACUGAUGACUGGGGCUAAGUCGUAACAAGGUACCAAGGCG
Molecule: ribosomal RNA, 724 nt
Filed under: uncultured bacterium
Lineage: Bacteria
Description: bacterial SSU rRNA
Rfam family: Bacterial small subunit ribosomal RNA
Source: RNAcentral